GUUUGAAGUUUAUACUUUUUUAUCGCACUAAGAUAAUUACUUGCAGAACUAGAAAUGUUAGAAUCUAUCCAAUCUGUAAGUUUAUCUAGUGCGUGUAAAAUGGUUGGUUGAAGUUCUUCAAAUAAUAUAACUGCAUCAUGGCAAUCAACCCAUUGAGUUGCGCACAUAUUUUUUAAUUUAUAAUGAUUAGUCUAUGGAUAUACUUUUGCUAUUGACAAUUACAAUUUACUUUGUCUUUUUGGUUAACCGAGAGUGGUAGCUGAUAACCAUAGAGCUAUAUACACUAUAUACACACUACAUUAGAA
Molecule: non-coding RNA, 305 nt
Organism: Cinara cedri
Lineage: Eukaryota; Metazoa; Arthropoda; Insecta; Hemiptera; Aphididae
Source: the annotation of a GenBank genome assembly